Long non-coding RNA from Neofelis nebulosa (Clouded leopard), 2098 nucleotides. RefSeq lists it as uncharacterized. The transcript has 3 exons. The record is from RefSeq and is a predicted model, not a curated record. NCBI's taxonomy places the organism in Eukaryota, Metazoa, Chordata, Mammalia, Carnivora, Felidae.
AGGGUCGGGUGGGGGCAGACCCACUUUCUGGGGUGCGCCCUCCUAUCCUGUAAGGAGAGGGCUCCUGAUGGAAAAGGCGUGGCGCUGGGUUUCUAUUCCCGACCCCCCGUGUGGUUAGCCUCUGGGAAGUGUGGGCAGCUAGUGGGUCCGCUAAUGAGGUCACGAGGCGGAUCUCGCUUCUCAGAAGUCUUGGAUUCAAAGUCCUCAGGUCGUCUAGCCCCCGCGGUUCCACAGCCCUUGGAGGACUGGUACCCUGAGGACCUUCUGCAGGUAUCCGGUGGAUGAACACAGCUGGAAUCAGUGCUACACAACAGAGGGGAGCAAGAGAGGCGCUUCCCUGAGGACCGGAUGUGAGGGACAAGUAGCAGCUAACAGGCUCCCACCUGCCCCGGAACCAGAGCCCAGGACCCUUCUGCGGACACACAGGCUCUGAGGGAGCGGGGUGCUGGGCCACACAAGCCCCCCUCUCCAGACGCCUUGGCCUCCAGGCUCCUACCCCUGUCCAGAGGCCCUGCAGGGGGCUCCCGGCGGUGCUUCCAGUCCGCAGGCAGGGUGCUGUGGUUAUCCUGCCCGUGGGCCCCCCCUGGCCGCUCAGGGACCUGCAGGCUGCCGAAGAGCUGACUGCCCGGAAGCUGAUAGGGGAGGGGCGGAAGGGGGAGAGAACACACAAGGAUGGAGCUUUCCAGAGAAGUAGGUGUGCAUCCCCCCCCAACCGCGGUGCCUUCCCUCCCCCAGCACUGACCUUGUUCGGGGGCGGGGGUUUCGGUGAGCACUGUGACAGGGUGUGGUAGCUGGGGUUGGAGUAGUAGUGGCUGUAGCUGGGAGGGACAUCUGCGCGAACAGACGGGGCGCGUUGUGACCGGGCCGGUCAGCGAGAGGCCCGGGCCCGAGACAGUUGUUCUGUCCCGGCAGAUCUGACCUCUCUUCUCCCCUCCAGCUCCCCGCUUCGCCUCUUCCGGGUCCAGGGAGGGACACGGGAGCCCCGCACCCCAUCCGCCCGGAGCCCAUGCGCCAGCCCCGCGUCGUGUCCCCCGCCCCCGGGCCAGCUCACCUGGCAUGACGUACUCAGAGCCAUCCAGCCGCCCGCUGCUGUAGGCCACGGCCAGGUGUUGGUGUGCCUUGCCUUUUUGCCAAUGGCGGUAGCCGACGAACAGUGCCAGCAGGGCCACCACCAGGGACCCCAGCACCGCGAUGCCAAUCACUGCCCCCAGCGAGUUAUAGGCCACCGGAGAGGCAGGCAUCAUGGUGAAGGGCUCCUGGCUUCCUAGGGGGAUGGGGUGGCCGCUCAGCACAGUCUUGGCUGUGCCCGUGAGCUUGGGGUGCCUGCACAGGACAGGCCCCGGGAGGGGGGCAGGGCCCAUGAGGGGACCGGGUCCUGGUGCCCUGGGGACCAUCGGGGCCAACAGGAGAACUCACCAAUCCUGCAGGGGGCGCCGCUGUGCCCCGGGGGACACACACAGGCUCCCGUCUCCGGGUGGCACCUCUCUCCAGGACCACACUGGCAGGACUGGGAGCAGUUGGCACCGAACAUCCCCGGAGAGCAGCCUGCGGGACAGGCAAGGAGGCAGUGGGGUUGAGGGACCCAGAUCUGCAGUGUCCGCCUUGGGCUUGGGGGCAGGGCGGGAGUUUCCCUUCUCUGGGUACCUUCUAAGCAGAGGUAUCCAGUCCAGCCUGGGGGACAGAAACAGCUCCCAUCCUGGGGGUGGCAGGCCCCCCCCUGGCGGCACUGGCAGGGCUGGGCGCAGUUGGCUCCCCAGUGUCCUAGAGGGCACGCUGCAGGAGACAAGGUGGCUGUCCGGUGGGGCAGAGCCACCCCCAUCUGGAUGAACUCUCAGCCCCCAGCUCCCUGAAAUCUUCUCAGCCUUGGUCUCCUGGGGACACCAAGUUUUUGAACCGCAGCCGCACACCGAUGAGUCACACAUGCUUAUCACGGGCCCAACGGCCUACUGGAACCUGCACUUGGGUAUCUAGCAGCCAUUUCAGACUCGUGGGGCCAGGGCCAGACAACCAAAGGCUUUCAAACUACCCUGCAUUGUUUAGCUCUGGUUUCUUUUUUACGUCUUUAUCAUAAGAGAGAAGUAGACCCUUUGAGGCAUAA